AACGAACGCUGGCGGCAUGCCUAACACAUGCAAGUCGAACGAUACCUUCCGGUCUAGUGGCGCACGGGGGCGUAACGCGUGGUAACCUGCCCUUAGGUUCGGAAUCACUCCCCGUAAGGGGUGCUAAUACCGGUUAAUGUCUUCGGACCAAAGAUUUAUCGCCUUUGGUUGGGCCCGCGUUGGAUUAUCUAGUUGGUAGGGUAAAAGCCUACCAAGGCGACGCUCCAUAGCUGGGCUGAGAGGAUGAUCAGCCACACUGGGACUGAGACACGGCCCAGAAUCCUAGGCAAGGGAGGAGAGGGGAAUAUAGGACAAUGGGGGAAAGUGUGAUGACGCAAUGCCGGGUGAGUGAUGAAGGCCUUAGGGUUGCAAAGCUAUUUUACACGAGAUGAUAAUGACGGUACCGGGAGAAUAAGCACCGGCUAACUACGUG
RNAcentral lists this ribosomal RNA (433 nucleotides) under uncultured bacterium. RNAcentral describes it as "partial 16S ribosomal RNA". It matches the Rfam family "Bacterial small subunit ribosomal RNA", at positions 29 to 507 of the family's 1533-position model. The record is from RNAcentral.